AUUUUCUUGACUCUUCUGUUAUUUUGUAGUCAAAAAAAAACAAUGAAUAUUUCAGUCUGUUUCCUUCAUUCCCAGAGCACAUGGGAAAUAUUGUACUUUUCUGGAAACAGGUAAAAAUAAUAAAAAUUCUUGACUGUUAUAAGGUUUCUUGAUAGCAAUGUGUUUGAAAAUUGGACUUCUCUCUUUCUUAACAUAUAACCAUACAGAUAUCUUAAGUCUCUGGUUAAUUUAUAGAAUGGGAUCCUGUCUUUAAAUAUGAGAAGCAUAUAAAUGUGUAAUCUUUCAUAUAACUUCAUUAAUUUUCAGCUGUUCCCAUAAUCGAAACUAAUAGUUAUUGGUAUUUGCAAUCCAAGGCCCUAUGGUCUUCCAUCAGUGGAUUGGCGUUAUGAAUCUAAUGAACCAUCAUGUCACACUGUUUUAGGAGCUAAAGUGCUUUAGGGUUACCAAAGCCUCAAAGUGUAAACACAGAUGUUAACAGGGAUUAUCAAUGAUAGAGCGGCUUAGGUAAUUAUUACUGUUUUUUCUUUCAGUUUUUUCCUUUUUAAGGCAAUUGAAAAAAAAACAGUGAUCCUAUAGGGCUUAUGUAAGAAGGUUUCUGUCAAACUGGUUUAGUAGCAGGUUGUUUUCCUAAGUCUGGGCAAAAGACACCACUAUUCCAUCAUCUCUCUGCUGCUUCACUUCACUAACAAUAAAAUAUGAGGCUUUCCAGAUUCUAGGCUGUAUCUCACUAAAAAUUUGUGGCACUCAAUGGCUGGAGUGUUAGUCUAUUUUUAAUUUAUUUCAACCUUGGCUGUUUUUUUAAAG
Molecule: long non-coding RNA, 804 nt
Filed under: Bos taurus (domestic cattle)
Lineage: Eukaryota; Metazoa; Chordata; Mammalia; Artiodactyla; Bovidae
Description: long non-coding RNA NONBTAT022227
Source: RNAcentral